Molecule: transfer RNA, 72 nt
Filed under: Canis lupus familiaris (dog)
Lineage: Eukaryota; Metazoa; Chordata; Mammalia; Carnivora; Canidae
Also listed under: 1 other name
Rfam family: tRNA
About the family: Transfer RNA (tRNA) molecules are approximately 80 nucleotides in length. Their secondary structure includes four short double-helical elements and three loops (D, anti-codon, and T loops).
Source: Rfam by way of RNAcentral
GCCCAAUUGGCUCAGUUUGUAGAGCAUAUGACUCUUGAUCUAGGGUUGUGAGUUCAAGCCCCACAUUGGGUG